UACGUAGGGUCCGAGCGUUGUCCGGAAUUAUUGGGCGUAAAGAGCACGCAGGCGGUUUGGUAAGUCGGAUGUGAAAUCUCCAGGCUCAACUUGGAGGGGUCAUUCGGUACUGCCAUGACUAGAGUUCGGUAGGGGAGUGUGGAAUACCUGGUGGAGCGGUGAAAUGCGCAGAUAUCAGGUGGAACACCGAUGGCGAAGGCAGGUCUCUGGGCCGAUACUGACGCUGAGGAGCGAAAGCGUGGGGAGCGAACAGG
Molecule: ribosomal RNA, 254 nt
Filed under: uncultured bacterium
Lineage: Bacteria
Description: partial 16S ribosomal RNA
Rfam family: Bacterial small subunit ribosomal RNA
Source: RNAcentral